Molecule: ribosomal RNA, 1380 nt
Filed under: Leptolyngbya sp. YACCYB284
Lineage: Bacteria; Bacillati; Cyanobacteriota; Cyanophyceae; Leptolyngbyales; Leptolyngbyaceae
Description: bacterial SSU rRNA
Rfam family: Bacterial small subunit ribosomal RNA
Source: RNAcentral
AGUCGAACGGUCUCUUCGGAGAUAGUGGCGGACGGGUGAGUAACGCGUGAGAACAUGCCUAUCGAUUGGGGACAACAGUUGGAAACGACUGCUAAUACCGAAUGUGCCUUAGGGUGAAAGAUUUAUCGUCGAUAGAUUGGCUCGCGUCAGAUUAGCUAGUUGGUGAGGUAAAGGCUCACCAAGGCGACGAUCUGUAACUGGUCUGAGAGGAUGACCAGUCACACUGGAACUGAGACACGGUCCAGACUCCUACGGGAGGCAGCAGUGGGGAAUUUUCCGCAAUGGGCGAAAGCCUGACGGAGCAAUACCGCGUGUGGGAGGACGCUUUUUGGAGUGUAAACCACUUUUAUUAGGGAAGAAGAACUGACGGUACCUAAUGAAUCAGCAUCGGCUAACUCCGUGCCAGCAGCCGCGGUAAUACGGGGGAUGCAAGCGUUAUCCGGAAUUAUUGGGCGUAAAGCGUCCGUAGGUGGCUUAUCAAGUCUGUUGUCAAAGCGUGCGGCUCAACCGCAUACGGGCGAUGGAAACUGAUGAGCUAGAGUGCGAUAGGGGUCAGGGGAAUUCCCGGUGUAGCGGUGAAAUGCGUAGAUAUCGGGAAGAACACCAGUGGCGAAAGCGCCUGACUGGGUCUGCACUGACACUGAGGGACGAAAGCUAGGGGAGCGAAAGGGAUUAGAUACCCCUGUAGUCCUAGCUGUAAACGAUGACAACUAGGUGUGGUUCGUAUCGACCCGAGCCGUGCCGUAGCCAACGCGUUAAGUUGUCCGCCUGGGGAGUACGCACGCAAGUGUGAAACUCAAAGGAAUUGACGGGGGCCCGCACAAGCGGUGGAGUAUGUGGUUUAAUUCGAUGCAACGCGAAGAACCUUACCAAGGCUUGACAUCCUCGGAACCCUGAUGAAAGUUAGGGGUGCCUUCGGGAGCCGAGAGACAGGUGGUGCAUGGCUGUCGUCAGCUCGUGUCGUGAGAUGUUGGGUUAAGUCCCGCAACGAGCGCAACCCACGUUUUUAGUUGCCAGCAUUCAGUUGGGCACUCUAGAGAGACUGCCGGUGACAAACCGGAGGAAGGUGUGGAUGACGUCAAGUCAGCAUGCCCCAUACGCCUUGGGCUACACACGUACUACAAUGCUUCGGACAAAGGGCAGCCAGACCGCGAGGUUGAGCCAAUCCCAUAAACCGAGGCACAGUUCAGAUUGCAGGCUGCAACUCGCCUGCAUGAAGGCGGAAUCGCUAGUAAUCGCAGGUCAGCAUACUGCGGUGAAUACGUUCCCGGGCCUUGUACACACCGCCCGUCACACCAUGGGAGUUGGUCAUGCCCGAAGUCGUUACUCCAACCGUUCGCGGAGGAGGACGCCGAAGGUGGGGCUGAUGACUGGGGUGAA